RNAcentral lists this long non-coding RNA (1418 nucleotides) under Olea europaea subsp. europaea. Lineage: Eukaryota; Viridiplantae; Streptophyta; Magnoliopsida; Lamiales; Oleaceae. The record is from RNAcentral.
GUUUAUCGAGUUGGAUUAGCUGGGUCAAGUUUUUGGCCCAUAAAAGAGGCCCAAGAAAAAAUAUUGGGCCCAUGUGUGGCCCAGCCCAGUAUGCAGUAUCGUGAAAUUGAAACAAUGACCCGCACGCGGCUGUAAAAGUCUUGUCAAAACCCUAUAUUUCAACGGCUACUACAGCUAGGUCAAACGUGUCGUUUCCAUUUCAAAGAAUUCCUGACGAUCGGACGAUGCAAAGAGAUGUGCAUCAAACAUGGACGCUCAAAAUUCGAUCCAAAGCCAACAACUUCCAUUUCCAUUUCAAUCACAAUUCAUCACAAACUAUUCGCAAGUUUUUCGAAUUUUCAAUCGAGCUUAAGCUCCGCCCAUUUCUUUUCAAAUUAAAAUGCGAACCCAGAUCAUCAUUUUCCUGGAAAAGAAGAUCUUUCAAGACUAGAUCACUUCAAUUUUUGCAGAAUCUUGGCAUUCCGAUUGCAAAAAACAAAGGCAUUGUAGCCAGAAGGAGAUCUCGUAUCACGACCCUAAAAUGGUGUGCUCGUAAGGUAUGUUCUACUCUGAUUUCAAAUAUUCGUGUUAAAGAUAUGGAAGUCUUAUCGCAUUAAUAAAAUUAGUAAUUUUUUUUUCACGAUUACAAGUGCAGGGAUCAAUUUGUGAGAGUUCAUUGAUACUGAUUGGAAGCCUUGCUCAUUUGUAUCUAUCAAUCUCCAAGAAUGGUGAAGAUCCAAUAUUCAUACUUGGUUCAUUUAUCUGUUUAUACUUUGCUUUCUUGCUGAAGAAUUAUUGGAGAAGAAAAAUAAGUUGUAAUUCAUUGGGAGUAGUGGUUUUUGCAACAUUGGGUUGUUGGGCAAUUUCGCAUCUGAGUAACCAUUUCUAUGGGAGCAGCUACUAUAUUUCCAGAUUUAUAUGGAGGGCUUGGAAUUAGGCUGCCUAUGUUUUUAUGAUUUAUUUCCCAGGUAAAUAAAAUAUUUCUAAAGAUUAUUUAUUUAUUUUUAUUUUUUUUAGGGUUUUCUUCUCAAUUGGAAAUUAUGAGCCUGAAAUUUUUCCAACAUUUUCAGGUAAUUUUUACUGCAGUUUCACUGGGGUCGAGAGAUAGAGGUGAUCUUCAAUCGAAAAACAUUGAUUUGUAAGAUUCUUUAAGCGUUGUUUUAGCUUAUGCAUGACCCAAUAAGGUGUUAAUAAACUUAACUUCGUGACUCGAGUCUUGUUUUAUUAUAUAAGAAUUCCAGAAUUUUAUGCAACUGAAAAUUUGAGAUUGUAGCAAUUUUGGAAGCCUUUUUCUUACUUAUUUUAAAAUUUUAUUUCUAAAAUUGUAUGUUCAGAUUUCAAGUUGUUCCUAAUGCAGUACAGAUCUUGGUUUGGUUCUUGCAUCACAUGUUAAAAUCCAAAGAAAAGUAUUAUCAAUACAGCACUUUUGACAGUUCUCU